Molecule: long non-coding RNA, 990 nt
Organism: Pyrus x bretschneideri (Chinese white pear)
Lineage: Eukaryota; Viridiplantae; Streptophyta; Magnoliopsida; Rosales; Rosaceae
Exons: 2
Source: RefSeq, a predicted model, not a curated record
UCUUUCUCUCUCUACCUCCUCAUUUCAUUAGUUUUCUCUUUUCUCGAUCUCUCAUUAUUUCUGCAUUUCUGAUCCUUGAUCAUAGACUGUGAGUUUUCCUUCUUAUUCCACGAUCCAUCUAUUAGACUACAUAUAAACAUAUAUUUUUCAUCUUUUUAAGGAAUUAUGCAUAUCUACAGUUUAUUCUUUUUGGGCUUUGUUAUUAUUGUCUUAAUAUUUUGAUUUUAUGUAAAUAAUUGCACGUUUGGUUUUGGUUUCCCUAAUUCAUGAACUCACGGUCUCCUUCGUUUGUUUGAAGACGUCGAGCUUCAGCACUACUGCUAACUACUAGGGAUCCCCAAGAGAAAACGAGUUUCUUGACAGUGGAAAUUGUUGACAAUUCUUAAGUAGACACUAUGGGUGGUGGGCUUCGCUCAAACGUGAAGAGGUACGCUGUCAAACGCUCCACAACUUUGGAUGCUGACACAAUGCAUGAGAACGAGAUCGUCGAUAGCAGUUUGAGUGAACCCCGGGGUUCCAAACCGGCCGAAGAAAAACUUGUGCAUGAGAACGAGAUCGUCAAUAGCAAUUUGAGUGAGCCCCGGGGUCCUAAACGGGCCGAAGACUUAUGUGCAGUUGUUCCUGCCAAGUGACAGUGCAGAGUGGCACAACAACUCAAUUAAAAGAUGAUACUUAUGCGAGAAAUAAAAAGUUAGUGUCGAAUUUGGAUGCAAACAAUCUAACUGGAUUGUUCUGCUACUUGGCACUACCACGUGCCAAAAAUAGCUCCCACACAAGUUUUUCUUCAACCCGCUGAUGGUGCGGAUAAGAAUCCAUUGCAACAAAGAAACAUGUUUGUGUAGUAUUUCCCUAGUUUUGAAAAUCGAACUCUAUGUUCCAAGACUUUAAGUUUCAACUAUCAUGUAUAACUAGCAAAAGUGUUCGAGCGAAGCUACAGCGUUUUUAAACAAUGUUUGAAAUGAAGAAAUCUAAGCAAUGUUUGAAAUGAAA